Molecule: ribosomal RNA, 465 nt
Filed under: uncultured bacterium
Lineage: Bacteria
Description: partial 16S ribosomal RNA
Rfam family: Bacterial small subunit ribosomal RNA
Source: RNAcentral
CCUACGGGAGGCAGCAGUGGGGAAUAUUGCGCAAUGGGCGAAAGCCUGACGCAGCGACGCCGCGUGAGGGAUGAAGGUCUUCGGAUCGUAAACCUCUGUCAGCAGGGAAGAACGGUCACUGUGCUAAUCAGCAGUGAAUUGACGGUACCUGCAAAGGAAGCACCGGCUAACUCCGUGCCAGCAGCCGCGGUAAUACGGAGGGUGCGAGCGUUAAUCGGAAUUACUGGGCGUAAAGCGCUCGUAGGCGGUAUGUCAAGUCAAGGGUGAAAUCCCCGCGCUCAACGUGGGAACUGCCUUUGAAACGGGCAAACUGGAGUGUGUGAGAGGAUAGGGGAAUUCCAGGUGUAGGAGUGGAAUCCGUAGAUAUCUGGAGGAACAUUAGUGGCGAAGGCGACUAUCUGGCACAUAACUGACGCUGAGGAGCGAAAGCGUGGGUAGCAAACAGGAUUAGAUACCCCAGUAGUC